CUGGAUUUCCGCGACCUACAUGCAGUCGAACGAACUCUUCGGAGUUACUGGCGCACGGCUGAGUCCACGUGCCAACGUGCCUUUAGGUUCGGAAUAAUCAGGGAAACUUGUGCUAAUACCGAAUGUGCCCUUGGGGGGAUAGAUUUUUCGCCUCUAGAGCGCCCCGCGUCUGAUGAGCUAGUCGGUGAGGUAACGGCUCACCAAGGCGACGAUCAGUAUCUGGUCUGAGAGGGUGCCCACCCCCAAUGGGACUGACCCAGGGCCCACUCUCAAACGGGAGGCAGCAGUGGGGAAUCUUGCGCAAUGGGCGAAAGCCUGACGCAGCCAUGCCGCGUGAAUGAUGAAGGUCUUAGGAUUGUAAAAUUCUUUCACCGGGGACGAUAAUGACGGUACCCGGAGAACAAGCCCCGGCUAACUUCGUGCCAGCAGCCGCGGUAAUACAAAGGGGGC
This 450-nucleotide ribosomal RNA is filed under the name Brevundimonas sp. R3(2015). RNAcentral's name for it is "bacterial SSU rRNA". It matches the Rfam family "Bacterial small subunit ribosomal RNA", at positions 43 to 535 of the family's 1533-position model. The record is from RNAcentral. Lineage: Bacteria; Pseudomonadati; Pseudomonadota; Alphaproteobacteria; Caulobacterales; Caulobacteraceae.